This 1789-nucleotide long non-coding RNA is filed under the name Mus musculus (house mouse). RNAcentral's name for it is "predicted gene, 50417". Lineage: Eukaryota; Metazoa; Chordata; Mammalia; Rodentia; Muridae. The record is from RNAcentral.
AAAAUAAUGUGUCUGUGAAUGCUUGGGUGGGGAAUGAAGCUCAAGAACAGAUGUUACCACCUUCAAAGGGAUCCUUCCAAAUGCAAAGCUUUACCUGCUGUACAGUUCUCCCUGGAAUGUAAAACUGUGGACAAAUGAAGAUCAGAUCAUUCUGGGAUUGGCUGAAAGACGUUUCUGUUAGUACAAAUAUCUGGGCUAAAUACCAUGGGCUACCCAUGUCCAGCUCCAUGUCCUCGGUGUCUGGGAUAAGGCUCAUCUCUGGUUUACCAAACCUGCUACUGGCAGCAAUGUCUAAGACACACAGGAGGGCAGGUAUUAGAACACCAUUCCCAGGUCAAGAGAAAGGCUCCAUAGCAAAACAGUGCCAGCCAGCUUUCUACCAAUGACCUUGACCUCAGGAGCCUGAAUUAUCAAAAGAACAUGAUGCCAGCCAUGAAACACUGGUAUACUCAACAAUCUAGCAAGGACCACAUCUUUGCCAAAACAUACUCUAAUCAUAAAUGAAUGAGUCAAAGCUCUUCAGGGGUGUGAGUAUUGGCUCACCAAAAUCCCACAACCAGAAUUGUACCUUGGAGACUCAACCUGGUGAGGUCUGGACUUUUGUAAUAAGCUGAUCUGAAGAAUGUGAGUGGCAUUUCACCCAAAGCAACGAACCAAGAUGUGGUGAGCACUAUGGCAGUCAACUUCAUUAUUGUAAAGAAAAUUGCAUGCAUGGGAUAUACCCAACUCCUAAGGAGGAGAAUGGCUUAGAAGUAUGCUCUGCCCUUGUCUGUGACAUGCACAGAACCAGCAGCAGACAGACAGCAUCCCCUGGGAAUAACAAGUGUCCACUCUUGGCUUCUAAGGCUUCAAUGCAGAAAGCUCAGCCUACCCCAUGGGCAACUUUUUCUACCUCUUCAUCUAGCCAGUUUGGUCAGCAGUGCUGGUGAGCUUCAGUGGCCUGGCUUUGUUCUGGGCUCUGAACCCUUGGGUGAAGGGUGAGAUCCAGAAAUGUCCUGGAUAAAUGUGUCCUUAAGGGUCUUUCCCUGUGCAUUAAGAGCAGUAUUGUAUUCCUAGAAUUCUUUAGUUCUCACUGAAGUGUAUUCUAGAACAUCUGGUUGGCUUCAUUUUACAUAAAUCAGCAGACUGUCAACCCCUGACAGGUACCUGUUUACUUUCACGUCAUUAAGUGCCAUUUUUCCAGAAACAGCAAGAUACAGGCAACACAACAUGUAAUUAAGCAAAAACAAUGCAAAUAAACAUAAGUAAUGCAGACGAGGAAAGCAGAUAUCUACAGAAGCACAGAGUGAGAUAUCUACAGAAGCACUUACAACUGAGCCCUGGUCUACCUGCACUGAUUCUACUGUAGUCUAUCUGUAGCCUUUUACCUGUGAAGGGGAUAAAGGUCCUCCAUUUAAACUACUCUUCAAGUAGAGAUGCCAGUUCCCAGGUUUGGAAUAGCCAUGGCUACCCCUACUGCUGUCUCCAUGCUGUGUUUGGCAUGGGCGAGUGAUUGACACAGUUGCAGAUCUACAAACAGGACAGGCAGCUCAUUGUCCUUCCUCUUGGAUGAAACCAUGCUCCCCAGUUUCCAUCAGAGCCAUUGGGGAAAACUGCUUUUUACAAUCCAACAUACUAUUUAAAACCACAGCACUAACUAUAAUGUUUUAGAGUACCUGUCUCUUGAAUAUUCUAUGCUGUCUAUAUCUAUGUAUGUGUGUACCUUUUUUAGAGACAAGGUCUUGUGCUCACUACCCUCCUGACUCAGUCUUCAGCAUUAAAAAUGUGUGCCACCAUGGCUCAAUAUGUC